Molecule: non-coding RNA, 65 nt
Organism: Merluccius polli (Benguela hake)
Lineage: Eukaryota; Metazoa; Chordata; Actinopteri; Gadiformes; Merlucciidae
Source: the annotation of a GenBank genome assembly
GGCCGGUUAGCUCAGUUGGUUAGAGCGUGGUGCUAAUAACGCCAAGGUCAUCCCCGUACGGGCCA